This 444-nucleotide ribosomal RNA is filed under the name uncultured bacterium. RNAcentral describes it as "bacterial SSU rRNA". It matches the Rfam family "Bacterial small subunit ribosomal RNA", at positions 29 to 507 of the family's 1533-position model. The record is from RNAcentral.
AACGAACGCUGGCGGCAGGCCUAACACAUGCAAGUCGAACGAGAAGCUAUCCUUCGGGGUAGUGGAAAGUGGCAAGCGGGUGAGUAACGCGUGGGAACCUUCCCUGUGGUACGGAAUAGCUCCGGGAAACUGGAAUUAAUACCGUAUACGCCCUUUUGGGGAAAGAUUUAUCGCCAUAGGAUGGGCCCGCGUCGGAUUAGCUUGUUGGUAGGGUAAUGGCCUACCAAGGCAACGAUCCGUAGCUGGUCUUAGAGGAUGAUCAGCCACACUGGGACUGAGACACGGCCCAGACUCCUACGGGAGGCAGCAGUGGGGAAUAUUGGACAAUGGGCGAAAGCCUGAUCCAGCCAUGCCGCGUGAGUGACGAAGGCCUUAGGGUUGUAAACUCUUUUGGCGGGGACGAUAAUGACGGUACCCGCAGAAUAAGCCCCGGCUAACUUCGUG